This 253-nucleotide ribosomal RNA is filed under the name uncultured bacterium. RNAcentral's name for it is "partial 16S ribosomal RNA". It matches the Rfam family "Bacterial small subunit ribosomal RNA", at positions 524 to 776 of the family's 1533-position model. RNAcentral also lists the same sequence under 1 other name. The record is from RNAcentral.
UACGGGGGGGGCAAGCGUUGUUCGGAAUUACUGGGCGUAAAGGGCUCGUAGGCGGCCAACUAAGUCGGAUGUGAAAUCCCCAGGCUUAACCUGGGAACUGCAUCCGAUACUGGAUGGCUUGAAUCCGGGAGAGGGAUGCAGAAUUCCAGGUGUAGCGGUGAAAUGCGUAGAUAUCUGGAGGAAUACCGGUGGCGAAGGCGGCAUCCUGGACCGGCAUUGACGCUGAGGAGCGAAAGCUAGGGGAGCAAACGGG